RNAcentral lists this ribosomal RNA (813 nucleotides) under Triticum aestivum (bread wheat). RNAcentral describes it as "partial small subunit ribosomal RNA". The record is from RNAcentral. Lineage: Eukaryota; Viridiplantae; Streptophyta; Magnoliopsida; Poales; Poaceae.
AUGAUUUUUGAUGUUGCAGAUACCAUCGAUGAUGCAGAGCUCCUCAGUCUUGAUGAUAUGGACGACGUUACAGAUGACAAACCUGUGCAGCCUGUACCUGCUGGCUGGAAGAUCCGGACAAUGUUUAGGAGCAUUGAUUGGGACUAUUGGGAAAGUAGUCACAUUCUUCAUGUUGACGAAAUAUCAGCCUCCCCACCUGAACCCUCUGUGCUGCAAUCUCAUCUAUGGAAUGAUACAGACAAGAAAUGGACAUUGGGAAAACUGAAGUGUACAAGCUUCCGGACCUUUGGUUUUUACGGCGGUGAUGUUGUCUAUCUCGUGUCUAAGGCGGAGUCUCGGGAUAAUGAUGCAUUACUUGUUGGUGUUGAUAUUCGAAAAAUGAAGCUGGAAUCCAUCAAAGCAUAUGGCUGUGGGAGAUCCAUUUCUUUUGGUCCCAUUCCGGUUGUUCGUUUUAAAAUUGGAAGGAAGCAGGAAGUCAUCGAACCAUCUUGUGGCGGGAGAUCCACUUCUUUUGAUGUCAUUUCCUGUGCAUUCUCAAAAUAUCUGAAUACCGCUCCAAGUUCAAGGCCGUGUAAUGAGGAAGCUGCAGCUGAGUCUGCUCAGAAUGAUGUGCUGAAUGAUCAUCUUUCAUCGAGGGAUACUGUUCCAAACAGUGUGCAACCCCAGCUAAACAUGUGGAAUGAGAGUGGCCGCAAUGGGGGUUGGAGUGAAUAUGGUUAUAGCGUGCAGCAGCCAUCCAGUUUGACACAAACUGGGCAGCCCAUGCCAUCUUCAACUUCAACUCGAUUAGCGUCGGUCCGACCACUGGGAUAG